ACCUUCCGAAUUCCCCCCAGGCUAAGGCAAAAAGCCAAAAUCAAAGUCGCAUUUACAUUUGAUAGCUCUAAAUUUCUUAUGAGAAAUAGAUAAGCAAGUAAUAAAAUCUCCAACUGCAAUCCUCAUUUGGCAUGUGCAUGACAUUUCCAAUCCUAGACUUUGGGUAGUAUCUUAGGGAUCUCAGCUUGUGCUAAUUAUUACUAAGAUUUAAAUAAACUAAAAUAAAAUAGAAUAGAACCCGAAAGGAGGAGAUCACGACCCAGUUCAGACUGGUUUUUUCGUCAAGUCCAUGAAAGCAACGUGCAGCUGAGGGUUGAACGUUGAAACAAGAAUAAAUAUGAUGGGCAGUUUAGACUUAAGACCGUGCCAUCAGGGGCAUCAGCAGUGGACCCGGGUGUCUCACUAACAUGGAUUAACUUUCAUGGGCCCAAACAAUCUCCUUAUCCAUACAAUCCCCUAACAACAAAA
RNAcentral lists this unclassified non-coding RNA (468 nucleotides) under Hevea brasiliensis (rubber tree). Lineage: Eukaryota; Viridiplantae; Streptophyta; Magnoliopsida; Malpighiales; Euphorbiaceae. The record is from RNAcentral.